Oreochromis aureus is the source of this 6833-nucleotide long non-coding RNA. NCBI's taxonomy places the organism in Eukaryota, Metazoa, Chordata, Actinopteri, Cichliformes, Cichlidae. The record is from Ensembl.
GGCUACUGCGGUAAGAUGCGGCGGCGCACGAUGCCGAGCCGCGGCGGAUGAGAUGAUGCGCAAUGGCUGAACGAGUCGGGAGGAGAGAGAGAAAAAAAAGAGGCUGUGGUCUGAUUUAAACGAUGGGACAGGACUGAAUGGAUGUUCGAGCGAUUUGUAACGUUUGUGGUGCAGGCCGAGUAGAAAGAUGAGGCGGCGCUGAUUCCACUUUAGGAUGCUCCAGAGCCCGAGAGGAGGGAGAAUAGGCUUCGUCUGUAAACAAUAAGGAAGCAGAGGGGCAUUAAGUAAAGGACACUUAAUCCAGAGCCUGGACCUGAGACCCCGGGGCUUCGAAAAAGGUUGCUCUGUGACAGCUGAGUCAGUCCUCUGUGAGGAGAGGCCAGUGAACGGGGAGGGCGGCGAAGCUCUGGAGACAGCGUCACUGAGCGUCAGCCUGGAAGAAAACAAACUUCUCAUUUCCCUUGCUCUCAUCAGCACUGACAGCUGGACAUCACACCUGCAUGUUUCUCUUCUUCGUCAGGAGACUGUCUAAGUUGAGGAGUGAUAGGUGCAAACAAUCGCAGGUCGCCCGUCAGAAAAACAGCUGAUUCUGUCUUCAGAUGCAGUCAGAAUGAUUUGCUAAGAUAUGAGAUUACAAGGAGAUUCAUCUCCCUCCGGCCAUGUUAGGAAAACAUCGUCUUCGGUACCACUGUCAGAAUUAAUCAGUAAGAAAUUUGUUUCAGCUGUUUCAUAGUGCCCAGUGAUUUUUUUUUAGUUUUUUUUUCUAAAUGAUGAUCUUUUUACCUUUGAGCUGUCAGGCUGUGAAUCAAGAAUAGAUUCUUGAUUGUGGCAGUGCUCCCUCUCACAAAUGAGAAUUCAACUUGAGCUGACAGGCUGCAUUUUAAUAAAGGAUAAGUAAAAACCAACCAAUAAAACAUAGAUGAGGCCCACAACAAGCACUAUGCUCCAGCAGAAUAACAACAACAACUACCCGUGCCUGAGCAUGUCAGGCUCUAGCCGGGAGAUGCUCCAGAAAUGCUCCAGAGCCUCUCUGCCCUUCCCCAGCCGACUGGAGCUGGGACUGGCAGAUCUGCCGCUCAUUCGGGGUCUCCGAGCCUGGGCCCUGUGUUCCAGGAAUCGCCACAAGACUGCUAAUCUGCUGGGAGGAGGACAAGCACCCACAGCUCCUCCUGCAGGUCGAGGAGGUUCAGCAUCAUGCCCCAGGCCUGCAGAUGUUUGCCUGAGUGGCGAGUGGGGUCGCAUGGGAUAUGGGCUUCCGCUGGGGGUGGACAGUAGGCAGGCUGGAAUCGGAGCUUUGGUAACAGUUGCCACUCUGAAGACCUCAGAGGGCAGCGGGAAGACUCAGACUCAGUGUCUGUUCCUCCGGACUGAGAAAGGAAGCUGUUUGUAUUCAGCAGCUAAGCCCAACUCUGGAGUGACAACCAGUGCAGCCUCCAGUGUGGUUGGAGGAUGGCUGCGAGGAAAGACUGGAGUAGGAGGAGGACGCAGAGACACUCCAGCUGGGCCAACUCCACCGGCACAGACUGGAGCAAACCGGGUUAGGGUGCGAUCAGGGAGGAGAUGGAGGAAGUCUGGCAAUGCAGCGGGCCGGGAGAAAACAGGCGUGAGCAGAGAGAGGCAGCAGAGGAGCAGGGAAGUUCCUGCUGGUGAAAUCGCUGUGGAAGAAAGGCAGGAAGAGCAAGACAAAGGAGGCCUGGACUGUAAACAGUUUCCCACCCCACAGCAGGACAGCCGGCGAGCCAGAUGCAGCCACAGCGUUUCUCCUAAAUCCUGCGUCCAAUGUGGAAGGAGAGCACAGAGGAGGAAAAGCCAGGAUGGACACGAGGGAGGCAUCCCGAACAGGCUGAACAGUGAGGUGACGGGAAUGAGGAAGGAAAGGCAAAAGAAUGAAGAGGAGGAUAAGGGAGGCCUCGGCAAGUUAGAGUCUUCCAGCUCUGUUUUGACUGAACUAAACCCUGACCUAGAAUCUACCCGUUCUUACAGCGACUCCCACGACAGCUGCGAUGUGGGAGAAACAAGAGAAACUGAGAGCAGCGAGGGGCAGAAGACACAAGCUUCUCAGAGCAAGGACGGCUAUUCAGAGGAACAAGAAGACAGAUACACUGAAGGAAACAACGUCACCCAUGGACAUUCUGGGUUGAUUGAUAAUUCAAGACAUAAGAACAGCAUUACUGAGAGAAAACCAAGUAAAUGCCCCUGUGAAGAAGAAGGGGCUAAUGUAAACGGAUUUUCUGAUCUCGAUGAAGCAGGUGAAGAAUCAGAGAAAAGGGCUGAGUGUGCAGAUGUUAAAGAUGAAAAGGAGAACAUCAGCGAGGCUCUUGAUGAAUUUUCCAGCUGGUGUGCAGUCUUUACGCCUGCCUCCAGCAGCACUGGAGUCUCCCUCAGUUUUAACAAGUCAGCCGCACCCAUAGAGGGCAGCGUCUGCAGUGCUGACCAUGAAACUUGUUGGGUUCAGGCUGAGCAGGAGCAGGAGAAUCACGUUGAGGGGUAUCAGCAAGAGGAAAAAGACUCUGGGGUCACGGGUGAAGAAGAACAGGCCAAUGAAAAAACCACUGUGAAUGAGAUAUUAAAUAAUAAACCUCAAUCUGUGUUUAAAAAUGAGGAGGAAGUGUUACCUUCAUCCCUCACAGAUGGAGAUCAUUCCAUCUCUGAGUCAGGCGAGAGGAUUGUGGCAGACAGCAGCAGCAAAUGUGGGACGAAAGAUGAGCUGGAGUCGGAAGAAGGAAAUUUAGAAGAGAGCCUCAAUCCUGAACAUGGAGACGAAGCUGGGGAUAUUUGGAAGUCGGAUGAAUGUAAAGAACUCACACUCAAAGAUAAUUAUGAAGGGACAGCGAUAAACUGUGCUUCAGAGGAAGACUGGCGGUUACAGGAGGUCGAAGAUGAACGCAGGAAGUGGGAGAAAGAGGAUGGAUACACCUGUGCACAAACAAGCAUCGCCCCUGUUGAACCAAGUGGAGAGACUAACAUCACUAACACUGCCUGCACCAAUCUCCCCACCUCCCCUGCGCUCUCCCAGGCUAAUCCUGCCCCUUCCCUGCCCACCCUGGGAUCCAUGGCAACCGGCCUGCCCUGUCAGGAGGAGGAGGAGGCAGUCAGUGCAACAGCAGGAGACAGAGAAGGAGGCCAAGAAGGGAAGAGAAGAGAGCUGGAGGAGCAGGGUGAGGUGGAGAGUGGCUCCACCGUGGCCACUGACGAAGGGAGGAAGGAGGAGGAGGAAGAUGAGUUUGGAGUGUUCAUGCAGGCGGAGGGAGAGCCAGCCUGGAGCGAGGAGUUCACCAUGUCUGCCUCAGUGCCUUGUGGGAGCAGAGAGAGUGUUGGCUUGGAUCUUUUGGUCCUGGACAACAAGGCUGACACAGAAAGGCUUCAGAGAUUUUCAGAAAAAACACUUGGAAAGCAUGCUAUCACCAGUGAGUCGACCCUCUGGACGCCAGGCAAGACGGACAGCUCGUUCCACCAGUCAGACGACACCUGGACAGCCUUCCCUCAGGAUUCAUCAGAUGAAGGUGGAGACGUUGUGGAGCAGUGGUGGCCAGCCAGUGCUGUGGAGGAGAGGAGAGACAGACUCUCAGCCAAUCAGAACCUGGCGGCUGUCUUUGCUGAAGUCUUCCCCUCAUUUACUGGUUCAUCCUCAAGUGACUCCUGUGACCUCAGUACUGUUCCCACACUGAGCCAGCUCCUCAGAGGCGGAGCAAGCCAAGACCAGGGGCUGUUGGACAGUUUCCACGACUUAAACAAAAUGAUCGGCCAGAGAUACAAGAGAGCCAACGGCGUGUCUCGUAACCUGCUGCUGAAGACUUUACACCUGGAGCAGCCGCACACUGAAAGCAGACCUGCUUCCUGGACAGCAAACUGCCGCCUCUCCCCUGGCCUCCCCUCAGCCAAUCAGCAUGCUCAAAAUGCCGCUGCCAAGCGACGGCUGUCCUAUGACUACAACAGGAACAUCAUGGAGUAACUCUGUGGACCUCAGCUCUGGUUUGGCUGUCAGCAUUCACAAUGAAGGACUGCAGGUUUUAACAGGUUUCUCGAGGAUCCGGAUUCACAGCAUAUUAAACUAAGCACUCAUCGACCUGCUGACUCUUUGCACACUUCCUGGUUAUUUAAGCCUGAGACAGUGAGGAGAGCCGGUGUCUCCUCCAGCACCUGCUGAUGUAUACUGGGGGAGUGGUUUUUUUUAUAUCACGUGUUCAUCACCUUGUUCACUAUCACCACUACCACCCAUUAAGUAUCAACCUUACCUACUGAGAUUCUUUGGAGCAUUGUGACCUGUUACAAGGUACACGCCACCACCUUAAAGGCACUCUAAUUUUUUCCUCCUCUAACAGAAAUAGAUCUGAAGCACCACUGCUUUUUGUCUCAAGGGUAGAAUAAAUAUAAAGCAUAUAAUACUCACAUGGGGUGAACUUAAAUAAUAAAAAUAAACGUUUCUCCCACUGAAAUCACUACGUCCAGAUGAACAGAAUCAACCUUUUGUGGUAUAUAAGACAUCAUUUUACAUACAUUGGCGGCCCUGUCAGUCAUGAUUUUUGACAUGCCGGUUGUUUAGCGUACGUCUGCUGUCUCUUUAAAAGUUUGUGGUUUGUUUUUGUCGUGCAGAAAUGGAAGAGUGUAACUGGGGCAAAAAGUUUCUACCUCCAGUGUUGCUGAUCUAACAGACAAAUAAAAUUAUGUUGCACUACACUACAGUUUAAAUUUGAAAUAGAUUUUUUUAUUAAGUAGGAAAAUCCUAGUUCUGAAAAACUGGUAUUCUUCAUAUACUAUAUGCUGUGUACUGUAAGCAUAUUCAUACAAUAUGUCAGUUAGGCUGAAAGGGGAAGAACAUCUGGGGUUAUUGGUUAAGUUUCUAACCAUGAAGACACAGCUUUACUUCACACAGGGGGCCUUUAAGGCUUCUCCUUAUUUCCUGCCAUGUAUAUACUCUCACAGUGAUGGAUGCUCAUGUUGAACAUGGCCAAAGGUUCAAAUAUUGAGCCAUGUAUAUAUAAAAGUAAUUCCUGUGAGCUUAAUAUCCUGCAUAUCAUUUCAGUCACACAGGUGUGGCUGUGAGCACUAAAGCCCCACCUGCCUGUGUUCAAACCAAUCAGGUGAGGCUCUAAUACAGCUUCUUUCAGACGGAGUAUGAGCUGGGGGGCUGCAUCAAUGACCAGUGUGAAUUUUGAAUGAGCAGAACAGGUACAAGACAAACUGUGUCAACGUAGCAUUUUAAAUUACCCAAGCAUCUUUUUCCAAUCUGUGCUUUUCAGUUAUUUCAAAUUGGACUAACAAGCCAUUGUGAUGGAGGCAUACAUGUCUGUAUUAUUGAGUGCCAAGUCAGGUAAAUGGGAACUAUCAGAAAACUAGAUUUGUAGUUAUAUUUCCAGCCACGUUUUAUGAAAGUAGCAUAAAGUUCCAGUCUUCCUCCCGGAAAAGAUCUCUGGGUUUAAUUACAGAAGAAGACUCGAUGACAUGAUGCUUGUUUUUGUUCUGUAGCUCCAUUAAUGUGGUGGCUUGACCCUUUGUAACAGCUUCACUCCUCUUCAGUUUUCCUGUCUGUAGCAGAAACCUCUACAGAUGUCACCAUCGCCUGGAUUCAUGCACAUGUUCAGUAGAAGUAACAGAAAAACCUUUUGUCUAGUCGUGUCAUCACACAGAAGAUCAGAGUCAAGCGUUAUUUUUUUUCCAAAACGUAGAGCAGAUAUAAUAAUGAGUACUAAAGAAAGAUCAAGAUUGUUUUUGUUUUAAUUUUGUUUACAUUUGACAUUUUGAUGCAUGUGCUUUCAUUGUGUAUUUGCUACUGAAAAGCCAGUGACAGGAACAGGUCUCAACUUUGUUCUGGUUCCUCAGAGAAACAAGUUUGUCUUCCAGUUAGUGCCAACAGGAACACCAGAGAAAGUGCCAAUGUUUACGAGGUUACGGAAGUGAUUUCAGGAGGAAAUGUUUGUCUUGUUUCUCAAACACACUGAAGUGGACUCAAACAAAAGCAUGUGAUGUUCCACCUUUUUCUUUCUUUCUUUGUCUUUCUGUCUCGCUUCUUGUCUGCCGAAUGUCUCAGUACAUUCGUUUUAGUUCAGCGCUGUUCUGUAGUCGAGUCCACUUCAUGGGCAAAACUUGAAUUUAGCUGCCGGUCAAAAUGAUAUUUUAUGAGAAUAUUGUUCACAUUAUGUCGAUCAUGCACCGCGUUUCUAAUUUGUGGCACCUCAGAAAACUUUAAGUCGCUCUGUUGUGUAUUUCAAUUGUUAACUCUGUUAAUCUGUGAUGAAAUUCAGAAUCAGUCGUGUGUGUGUGUGUGUGUGUGUGUGUGUGUGUGUGUGUGUGUGUGUGUGCCAUUUAUACAACAUUCAAAUUCUUGAAAAAAUGGAUAUUUUCUGUUACAAUGAGGAGGAUCCAGCUGUCGCCUUGUUGACUGAUGUAAUAAAAUGAUACUGCGUGUUGGCUAAUGCUUCCUCCUGACAUGCAGAAUUAUGUGACCUGUUGAUUUCAUGAAGAGGGAACCACUGGCUGACUAGUAACUCAGAUAAAAUCAUCACAUGGUCUGCUCUUCUGGGCCAUGUUUGAACAUUUUGAAAUCCACUCACUCGUCCUUUGUAAAUAUUACGAAACGAACAAAUAUUUCCCAGACAGACCGAGAAGAAGUCAGACCUGACAUAAUUCAGCUGACGUUUCAUGGAGUCAAUGAGGGUUUUUCAUGAGCUUGUCAUGAAAAACAUUCAAACCCAUCCAUCUUUUUUCCUAACCGCUUAUCAGAUUGAAGGUUACCAGCUGUCAGUGGGUGAUGACCGAUCCUCAGUUUUCUGGAAUCAGACCAAACAAUUAAUGAACAUAAAUAUGUUUUAGGUUUACUCUUUGCCAAAAUUGCU